UGGGGAAUAUUGCACAAUGGGCGCAAGCCUGAUGCAGCCAUGCCGCGUGUAUGAAGAAGGCCUUCGGGUUGUAAAGUACUUUCAGCGGGGAGGAAGGGAGUAAAGUUAAUACCUUUGCUCCUUGACGUUACCCGCAGAAGAAGCACCGGCUAACUCCGUGCCAGCAGCCGCGGUAAUACGGAGGGGGCAAGCGUUAAUCGGAAUUACUGGGCGUAACGCGCACGCAGGCGGUUUGUUAAGUCAGAUGUGAAAUCCCCGGGCUCAACCUGGGAACUGCAUCUGAUACUGGCAAGCUUGAGUCUCGUAGAGGGGGGUAGAAUUCCGGGUGUAGCGGUGAAAUGCGUAGAGAUCUGGAGGAAUACCGGUGGCGAAGGCGGCCCCCUGGACGAAGACUGACGCUCAGGUGCGAAAGCGUGGGGAGCAAACAGG
RNAcentral lists this ribosomal RNA (429 nucleotides) under Chloroflexota bacterium. RNAcentral describes it as "Chloroflexi bacterium partial 16S ribosomal RNA". It matches the Rfam family "Bacterial small subunit ribosomal RNA", at positions 355 to 776 of the family's 1533-position model. Lineage: Bacteria; Bacillati; Chloroflexota. The record is from RNAcentral.